UACGUAGGGGGCAAGCGUUGUCCGGAUUUAUUGGGCGUAAAGAGCUCGUAGGCGGUUUGGUAAGUCUGGUGUGAAAUCUCCACGCUCAACGUGGAGGGGCCAUUCGAUACUGCCGUGACUCGAGUCCGGUAGGGGAGUGUGGAAUUCCCGGUGUAGCGGUGAAAUGCGCAGAGAUCGGGAGGAACACCCGUAGCGAAGGCGGCACUCUGGGCCGUGACUGACGCUGAGGAGCGAAAGCGUGGGGAGCAAACAGG
Molecule: ribosomal RNA, 254 nt
Filed under: uncultured bacterium
Lineage: Bacteria
Description: partial 16S ribosomal RNA
Rfam family: Bacterial small subunit ribosomal RNA
Source: RNAcentral